This 460-nucleotide ribosomal RNA is filed under the name uncultured bacterium. Its description in RNAcentral is "partial 16S ribosomal RNA". It matches the Rfam family "Bacterial small subunit ribosomal RNA", at positions 338 to 795 of the family's 1533-position model. The record is from RNAcentral.
CCUACGGGAGGCAGCAGUGAGGAAUAUUGGUCAAUGGACGAGAGUCUGAACCAGCCAAGUAGCGUGAAGGAUGACUGCCCUAUGGGUUGUAAACUUCUUUUAUAAAGGAAUAAAACGAGGCACGUGUGCCUUUUUGCAUGUACUUUAUGAAUAAGGAUCGGCUAAAUCCGUACCAGCAGCCGCGGUAAUACGGAGGAUCCGAGCGUUAUCCGGAUUUAUUGGGUUUCAAGGGAGCUUAGAUGGGUUGUUAAGUCAGUUGUGAAAGUUUGCGGCUAAACCGUAAAAUUGCAAUUGAUACUGGCAGUCGUGAGUACAGUUGAGGUAGGCGGAAUUCGUGGUGUAGCGGUGAAAUGCUUAGAUAUCACGAAGAACCCCGAUUGCGAAGGAAGCUUACUAAACUGUGACUGACAUUGAUGCUCGAAAGUGUGGGUAUCAAACAGGAUUAGAUACCCUGGUAGUC